UAAGUAUCAGGGAUCAGAGGAGGAACAAGCCUCCCAGAC
This 39-nucleotide non-coding RNA is filed under the name unclassified sequences. Its description in RNAcentral is "Ocean-VII RNA". It matches the Rfam family "Ocean-VII RNA". Rfam says of the family: marine metagenomes. Environment (Puerto Rico trench) The record is from Rfam by way of RNAcentral.